This 120-nucleotide transfer RNA is filed under the name Candidatus Doudnabacteria bacterium CG10_big_fil_rev_8_21_14_0_10_41_10. RNAcentral's name for it is "tRNA-Gln". It matches the Rfam family "tRNA". Rfam says of the family: Transfer RNA (tRNA) molecules are approximately 80 nucleotides in length. Their secondary structure includes four short double-helical elements and three loops (D, anti-codon, and T loops). Lineage: Bacteria; Candidatus Doudnaibacteriota. The record is from RNAcentral.
GGGGCUGUAGCUCAGUUGGUUAGAGCGGUUAUCUUUGAUAGAAAUUGAACAAGAUUUCUAUCCGGCAGAGAUAGCGCCAAAGAUGACAGGUCGGAGGUUCAAUUCCUCCCGGCUCCACCA